AGAGGAAGUAAAGCUACAGUCCAUUUCAAUUCAGUAAUUAAACUCAAGUAGAAUUAAAAAAAAUUGCAAGCAAUUAUUAUUUGUCAUUAGUUGAAGCCGGGGGGGGGGGGAGAGGACGAGCAAUCGACGACUGCACGGUUUUCAAUUUGGCUCGCUGAAACCGAAUGAAUGACCCUACGGAGUGCGCAUCAAGAAAUGCACGAGGAACAAUUAAUUUCUGAAUGGGUAAAUCCAUUGAAGAUGUUGAUUGGUGCAGCGAUUAUGAGAAUCUAAAGAGUAGCAGAACCAAAGGAAUUGUGGUUGUUGUUACCCACAUCGAUAUGCAAGGAGGGGGUAGAGGGCAGCCGGUCUGGUCUGGAUUGUGGAAACAUCAAAUUGACACUUGAGUGACGACGCCGACGACUACGACGUCGUCAAAUCGAUUUAAGCAUAACAACAAAAUAGGGGCGCGAUAAGGAGUGAACUCAAACGAAACGGAGACUGCAGCAAGUAUUGCUGCUAUCUCGCUUGUUGUUGCAAAAACACGACGACAUCAGCAGCAACAAUGACUCCUCGUACCUUCAAAAAGAUUUUUCAUAUUGUAUUUAGUAUUUUGUUGUUGUUGCCGCGGGACUACUGUACUAUUAAACGCUAUUUUGCAAUCUGCAACACAGAA
Molecule: long non-coding RNA, 655 nt
Organism: Drosophila montana
Lineage: Eukaryota; Metazoa; Arthropoda; Insecta; Diptera; Drosophilidae
Exons: 2
Source: RefSeq, a predicted model, not a curated record